This 471-nucleotide long non-coding RNA is filed under the name Equus asinus (donkey). Its description in RNAcentral is "lncRNA (ENSEASG00005028040.1)". The record is from RNAcentral. Lineage: Eukaryota; Metazoa; Chordata; Mammalia; Perissodactyla; Equidae.
CUAGGGCAGAGUUCAAGCGAAGCUUUGAGAAAAUGCUGAGCAUUUAAUCUGGGAUAAAUGUGACUGACAAAUCCAAAGGACAGGCAUUGCACUAAAAAUAGCAGAUAAGCCAAGAGAAAGGAAACACAGAUUUGAAACAGAGCAAGAGGAAGGGUGACAGCAAAGCCAGAAAACAUCUAGAAGUUUGUACCACAAAAAGAGGGAAACUAGUUUGUCUUCAAUGGCUUUUGGCCAUGUUGAUGGAUGGAAUCAGCCUCAGGAUGAAGACGACCCAGAGGAUAACUAAGUGCUUUCCAGAGUCUUUCUGGUCUCCAGGAGCCUGAAAAUAGCAUCCCAGAUGUGUCUACCUCCGUUUUCCUCCCUCCCUUCUCUGUGACAGUCUUCAGAGACAGCCCAAAAUAGCACUGCCCUUUUCUCGCUGGGACUUCAACAUUCUCAGGCAGUUUUGCAUUUUUAAAAGGAAAAAAAAAA